GGUGGUGCAUGGUUGUCGUCAGCUCGUGUCGUGAGAUGUUGGGUUAAGUCCCGCAACGAGCGCAACCCUUAUGACUAGUUGCCAGCAUUUAGUUGGGCACUCUAGUAAGACUGCCGGUGACAAACCGGAGGAAGGUGGGGAUGACGUCAAAUCAGCAUGCCCCUUAUGACCUGGGCUACACACGUGCUACAAUGGUCGGUACAACGAGUUGCGAACCCGCGAGGGUAAGCUAAUCUCUUAAAGCCGAUCUCAGUUCGGAUUGUAGGCUGCAACUCGCCUACAUGAAGCCGGAAUCGCUAGUAAUCGCGGAUCAGCACGCCGCGGUGAAUACGUUCCCGGGCCUUGUACAC
Molecule: ribosomal RNA, 350 nt
Filed under: uncultured Lactobacillus sp.
Lineage: Bacteria; Bacillati; Bacillota; Bacilli; Lactobacillales; Lactobacillaceae
Description: bacterial SSU rRNA
Rfam family: Bacterial small subunit ribosomal RNA
Source: RNAcentral